This 468-nucleotide ribosomal RNA is filed under the name uncultured bacterium. RNAcentral's name for it is "partial 16S ribosomal RNA". It matches the Rfam family "Bacterial small subunit ribosomal RNA", at positions 28 to 507 of the family's 1533-position model. The record is from RNAcentral.
GAUGAACGCUGGCGGCGUGCUUAACACAUGCGAGUCGAACGGAAAGGCCAGUGCUUGCACUGGUACUCGAGUGGCGAACGGGUGAGUAACACGUGGGUGAUCUGCCCUGCACUUCGGGAUAAGCCUGGGAAACUGGGUCUAAUACCGGAUAGGACAAUGGUUUGGAUGCCGUUGUGGAAAGUUUUUUCGGUGUGGGAUGAGCUCGCGGCCUAUCAGCUUGUUGGUGGGGUAAUGGCCUACCAAGGCGUCGACGGGUAGCCGGCCUGAGAGGGUGUACGGCCACAUUGGGACUGAGAUACGGCCCAGACUCCUACGGGAGGCAGCAGUGGGGAAUAUUGCACAAUGGGCGCAAGCCUGAUGCAGCGACGCCGCGUGGGGGAUGACGGCCUUCGGGUUGUAAACUCCUUUCGCUAGGGACGAAGCGUAUUUGUGACGGUACCUGGAGAAGAAGCACCGGCUAACUACGCG